This 65-nucleotide transfer RNA is filed under the name Xylosandrus sp. RNAcentral describes it as "tRNA-Glu". Lineage: Eukaryota; Metazoa; Arthropoda; Insecta; Coleoptera; Curculionidae. The record is from RNAcentral.
AUUUAUAUAGUUUAUAAAAACGUAACACUUUCAUUGUUAAAUUGGAGAAAUAUCUCCUUUAAAUA